AUUUAACUGGUUCUGUAUUUAGAUAGGAAUUUAAUUAUUACGACGAAUAAGAAAAAUUGUGUUUGCAUAUAGAUUGGAGUAAUAAGAAUAAAAAUAAUUAUAUUAUAAAAUAAAGAUAUUUUGAUAAGAAGCAUAAAGUAUUUAAUAAAAAUAAUUUGUAUUAAUUAAUUAAUUAACUAACUAAAGAAUAUUGUACAAAAUGAUAAAGAAGCACGCUAAUUGAUUAAUUAUUUAAGAAAAAUAAGUCAUUGUGUUAUCUGAUUAAUAUAUAUUUAAUUAAUUAGAUAUUUAGUUAAUAAAUUAAUUGGAUUAAUUAUAAUAUUAAUUACUUAAUUUAUUUAAAUAUUAUUUAAUGAUUAAAUUAGUUAAUUAUUUGAUUAGGUAAUUGAUUAUAUAUAAUAAUAAAUUAAUUGCUUAGGUGGCUAAUUUAAUGUAUAUUAAUUUAAUAAGUAAAANAAAAUUAAAAUUUUAAAUUUUAAUUUCAAAUUUAAAUUUUAAAAGUUAAAGUUUAAAAUUUAAAAUUUAAAAAUUUAAAUUCAAAAUUUAAAAAUUUAAAUUCAAAUAUAAUGAAAGAGGUAAUACCGUUAUUUUCUAUUUAUAACCAUCAACUAUUUCUCUUAUUCCCAAUAACCAUCCAAACACAAUUUUGCUAAUUCCAGCUUAUACUCACAUUUUUAUCCAAACAAAAAAAAAACCCUUUUUCUUACAAAAAUCCAUACUUAUAUCUAUUUCUAAAAUAACUAGUUUCUACUAAUUUCCAAAUCAAACGAAGCCUAAGAGAAAAAUUAUUAUU
This 793-nucleotide long non-coding RNA is filed under the name Ananas comosus (pineapple). RNAcentral describes it as "long non-coding RNA (ACOM_LNC009235)". The record is from RNAcentral. Lineage: Eukaryota; Viridiplantae; Streptophyta; Magnoliopsida; Poales; Bromeliaceae.